This 72-nucleotide transfer RNA is filed under the name Candidatus Scatoplasma merdavium. RNAcentral's name for it is "tRNA-Gln". It matches the Rfam family "tRNA". Rfam says of the family: Transfer RNA (tRNA) molecules are approximately 80 nucleotides in length. Their secondary structure includes four short double-helical elements and three loops (D, anti-codon, and T loops). Lineage: Bacteria; Bacillati; Bacillota; Bacilli; Caryophanales. The record is from RNAcentral.
UGGGGUAUAGUCAAGCGGUAAGACAGCAGACUCUGAAUCUGUGAUGCAUUGGUUCGAAUCCAAUUACCCCAG